GCUGCUAGCUCAGGUGGUUAGAGCGCACCCCUGAUAAGGGUGAGGUCGGUGGUUC
This 55-nucleotide transfer RNA is filed under the name Candidatus Gastranaerophilales bacterium. RNAcentral's name for it is "tRNA-Ile". It matches the Rfam family "tRNA", at positions 8 to 54 of the family's 71-position model. Rfam says of the family: Transfer RNA (tRNA) molecules are approximately 80 nucleotides in length. Lineage: Bacteria; Bacillati; Candidatus Melainabacteria; Candidatus Gastranaerophilales. The record is from RNAcentral.